This 203-nucleotide long non-coding RNA is filed under the name Vigna radiata. Its description in RNAcentral is "long non-coding RNA (VRAD_LNC009885)". Lineage: Eukaryota; Viridiplantae; Streptophyta; Magnoliopsida; Fabales; Fabaceae. The record is from RNAcentral.
UAAAGUGAAAAGAAAAUUUUACUCUCUUAACUCAAGGAUUAUGUUGUCUAGAAAAACCAACUUUCUUCUUAGCCCAGCCACAUUACAAGCCUUUGAAAGUCCUUGUGAUGAUAACUUGCUUGUAAAUGUGUUUUGAUGUGUUUAAAUGAACAACAAAGUUGAUUUAUAUGACAUUGCAAUAGUAGAGUGAAAGAGACACUGAC